This is a long non-coding RNA of Rhineura floridana, 506 nucleotides long. RefSeq lists it as uncharacterized. The transcript is spliced from 3 exons. The record is from RefSeq and is a predicted model, not a curated record. NCBI's taxonomy places the organism in Eukaryota, Metazoa, Chordata, Lepidosauria, Squamata, Rhineuridae.
AGAUGCUGACGUUUGGAAGCUCCUCAGGCUGUUUAGUUCUCCCACAAUAAUAUACCAAAUCAGUGGCUGGAAGGGCAUUCAUAGAAACCAUCCAUCUCAACCUCCAAAUCCCGUCCCACUUGUCCUCAUUAUUAUAUGUAACCCUUAAUCUGAUGAUGAUGAUGAUGUAAUCCCUAAUAUCAAGCCUCUCUUCCAUUAAUUUCCCCCCAAUUUUCUUGCCUUAUCUGCAUGUUCUAAGACACUUUUCUGAGGAGCCUUAAGAAUAGAUUUGACAGACAGCCACAGGCUUAAUGGGCAAUGACUGAAGGAAGAAUUGCUGAAAAAUGUUCUCACAAAGGAAGUGGAAAGGAGGUCUAAACAAAUGAUGGCUUUUCUAGCAGCUGCAAUUGAUUGAUUAUUUUUACUAUGGUCACAGACCAGUCCAUACAAAAUUGUACAACAAAUGAGAAAUAUAAAAAAGUAAAAUAAUGUAACUCUUGUCCAUAAUAAAACCAAGCAAACCACAA